RNAcentral lists this ribosomal RNA (381 nucleotides) under uncultured organism. RNAcentral's name for it is "partial 16S ribosomal RNA". It matches the Rfam family "Bacterial small subunit ribosomal RNA", at positions 527 to 897 of the family's 1533-position model. The record is from RNAcentral.
GUAGGUGGCAAGCGUUGUCCGGAAUUAUUGGGGCGUAAAGCGCGCGCAGGCGGGUUCUUUUAAGGUCUGAUGUGAAAGCCCACGGGCUCAACCGUGGAGGGUCAUUGGAAACUGGAGAACUUGAGUACAGAAGAGGAAAGCGGAAUUCCACGUGUAGCGGUGAAAUGCGUAGAGAUGUGGAGGAACACCAGUGGCGAAGGCGGCUUUCUGGUCUGUAACUGACGCUGAGGCGCGAAAGCGUCGGGGAGCAAACAGGAUUAGAUACCCUGGUAGUCCACGCCGUAAACGAUGAGUGCUAAGUGUUACGGGGGGUUUCCGCCCCUUAGUGCUGCAGCUAACGCAUUAAGCACUCCGCCUGGGGAGUACGGCCGCAAAGGCUGA